Molecule: small RNA, 239 nt
Filed under: Marmota monax (woodchuck)
Lineage: Eukaryota; Metazoa; Chordata; Mammalia; Rodentia; Sciuridae
Source: RNAcentral
GCUGGGCAUGGUGGUGCAUGCCUGUAAUCCCAGCAAUUUGGGAGGUGGAGGCAGGAGGAUCAGAAGUUCGAGGCCAGCUUUGGCAAGUUAGUGAGAGCAUCUCACUUAUAGGACUGGGGAUGUAGCUCAGGGGUGAAAUGUCCCUGGCUUCAAUCUCCAGUUUCAUUUUACUCUUUAUUUUGAGACAGGGUCUCACUAAGUUGCCAAGACUGGCCUUGAAUUUUUUUAUCCUCUUGCCU